This 916-nucleotide ribosomal RNA is filed under the name Bacillus licheniformis. Its description in RNAcentral is "bacterial SSU rRNA". It matches the Rfam family "Bacterial small subunit ribosomal RNA", at positions 34 to 972 of the family's 1533-position model. The record is from RNAcentral. Lineage: Bacteria; Bacillati; Bacillota; Bacilli; Caryophanales; Bacillaceae.
CGCAGGGGCGGGGUGCUAUAAUGCAGUCGAGCGGACCGACGGGAGCUUGCUCCCUUAGGUCAGCGGCGGACGGGUGAGUAACACGUGGGUAACCUGCCUGUAAGACUGGGAUAACUCCGGGAAACCGGGGCUAAUACCGGAUGCUUGAUUGAACCGCAUGGUUCAAUCCUAAAAGGGGGCUUUUAACUACCACUUACAGAUGGACCCGCGGCGCAUUAACUAAUUGGUGAAGUAACGGCUCCCCCAGGCGACCAAGCCUAACCCAACUGAAAGGGUGAUCGGCCCCCCUGGGACUGAAACACGGCCCAAACUCCUACGGGAGGCAGCAGUAAGGAAUCUUCCCCAAUGGACGAAAGUCUGACGGAACAACCCCCCGUGAGUGAUGAAGGUUUUCCGAUCCUAAAACUCUGUUGGUAGGGAAGAACAAGUACCGUUCCAAUAAGGCGGUACCUUGACGGUACCUAACCAGAAAGCCACGGCUAACUACCUGCCAACAGCCGCGGUAAUACCUAAGUGGCAAGCGUUGUCCGGAAUUAUUGGGCGUAAAGCGCGCGCAAGCGGUUUCCUAAGUCUGAUGUGAAAGCCCCCGGCUCAACCGGGGAGGGUCAUUGGAAACUGGGGAACUUGAGUGCAGAAGAGAGAGUGGAAUUCCACGUGUAGCGGUGAAAUGCGUAGAGAUGUGGAAGAACACCAGUGGCGAAGCGACUCUCUGGUCUGUACUGACGCUGAGCGCGAAGCGUGGGAGCGACAGAUUAGAUACCUGGUAGUCCACGCGUAAACGAUGAUGCUAGUGUAGAGGUUUCGUCCUUUAUGCUGCAGCAACGCAUAGCACUCGCUGGGGAGUACGUCGCAGACUGAACUCAAAGAUGACGGGCCGCACAGCUGUGAGCAUGUGUUAUCGAGCACGCGAGAUCUU